CCUACGGGAAGCAGCAGUAGGGAAUCUUCCACAAUGGGCGAAAGCCUGAUGGAGCGAUGCCAUGUGAACGAAGAAGGUCUUUUUGAUUGUAAAGUUCUUUUAGAGGGGAAAAUAAUGAUGGUACCCUCUGAAUAAGUGACAGCAAACUAUGUGCCAGCAGCUGCGGUAAUACAUAGGUCGCGAGCGUUAUUCGGAUUUAUUGGGCGUAAAGCAAGCGCAGGCGGACAGAUAAGUUUUGUGUUAAAAGCAGUUGCUCAACAAUUGUUUGCGCUGAAUACUGUCUGUCUAGAAUACGGUAGGAAGUUUUGGAAUUGAAUAUGGAGCGGUGGAAUGUGUAGAUAUAUUCAAGAACACCAGAGGCGAAGGCGAAAACUUAGGCCGCUAUUGACGCUUAGGCUUGAAAGUGUGGGGAGCAAAUGGGAUUAGAUACCCCAGUAGUCCACACUGUAAACGAUGGAUAUUAGAUGUUGGGGCUUGUGCCUCAGCGUUGUAGCUUACGUAUUAAAUAUCCCGCCUGGGUAGUACAUAUGCAAAUAUGAAACUCAAAGGAAUUGACGGGGACCUGAACAAGUGGUGGAACAUGUUGCUUAAUUCGAUAAUACACGAAAAACCUUACCAAGGUUUGACAUCCCCCGCGAAGCUAUAGAAAUAUAGUGGAGGUUAUCGGGGUGACAGGUGGUGCAUGGCUGUCGUCAGCUCGUGUCAUGAGAUGUUUGGUUAAGUCCCGCAACGAGCGCAACCCUACUCUUUAGUUAGUUGUCUAAAGAGACUGAACAGUAAUGUAUAGGAAGGUUGGGAUCACGUCAAGUCAUCAUGCCCCUUAUGCCUUGGGCCGCAAACGUGUUACAAUGGCGAGUACAACGUGCCGCAAACCAGCGAUGGUAAGCUAAUCACUAAAAGCUCGUCUCAGUCCGGAUAAAAGGCUGCAAUUCGCCUUUUUGAAGUUGGAAUCACUAGUAAUCCCGUGUCAGCUAUAUCGGGGUGAAUACGUUCCCAGGUCUUGUACACA
RNAcentral lists this ribosomal RNA (1009 nucleotides) under uncultured Mycoplasma sp. RNAcentral's name for it is "bacterial SSU rRNA". It matches the Rfam family "Bacterial small subunit ribosomal RNA", at positions 338 to 1389 of the family's 1533-position model. The record is from RNAcentral. Lineage: Bacteria; Bacillati; Mycoplasmatota; Mollicutes; Mycoplasmatales; Mycoplasmataceae.